GUCCACACUAUAACAAUGGACACUAGAUAUGGGAGUAUCGACCCUCUCCGUGUCGAAGCUAACGCGUUAAGUGUCCCGUCUGGGAGUACGGCCGCAAGGCUAAACUCAAGGAAUUGACGGGGCCCGCACAAGCAGCGGAGCGUGUGGUUAAUUCGAUGCAAACGAAGAACCUUACCAAGGCUUGACAUGUAAGAAGUAGUGAACCGAAGGGAAUCCAACUGUUAAGUCAGUAGCUUGCACAGGUGCUACAUGGCUGUCGU
RNAcentral lists this ribosomal RNA (260 nucleotides) under uncultured bacterium. RNAcentral's name for it is "partial 16S ribosomal RNA". It matches the Rfam family "Bacterial small subunit ribosomal RNA", at positions 793 to 1055 of the family's 1533-position model. The record is from RNAcentral.